UACGGAGGGUCCAAGCGUUAUCCGGAAUCAUUGGGUUUAAAGGGUCCGUAGGCGGUUUUGUAAGUCAGUGGUGAAAGCCCAUCGCUCAACGGUGGAACGGCCAUUGAUACUGCAAGACUUGAAUUAUUAGGAAGUAACUAGAAUAUGUAGUGUAGCGGUGAAAUGCUUAGAGAUUACAUGGAAUACCAAUUGCGAAGGCAGGUUACUACUAAUGGAUUGACGCUGAUGAACGAAAGCGUGGGGAGCGAACAGG
RNAcentral lists this ribosomal RNA (253 nucleotides) under uncultured bacterium. RNAcentral describes it as "partial 16S ribosomal RNA". It matches the Rfam family "Bacterial small subunit ribosomal RNA", at positions 524 to 776 of the family's 1533-position model. The record is from RNAcentral.